GAGGGUAUAGCUCAGUGGUAGAGUGUGCGCCUAACAUGCACAAGGUCCUGGGUUCAAUCCCCUGUACUGACA
This 72-nucleotide transfer RNA is filed under the name Camelus bactrianus (Bactrian camel). It matches the Rfam family "tRNA". From Rfam's summary of the family: Transfer RNA (tRNA) molecules are approximately 80 nucleotides in length. Lineage: Eukaryota; Metazoa; Chordata; Mammalia; Artiodactyla; Camelidae. The record is from Rfam by way of RNAcentral. RNAcentral also lists the same sequence under 2 other names.